GCCUGGUUGGCUUAGUCGGUAAAGCAUGUGACCCUUGAUCUUAGGGUUGUGAGUUCAAGCCCCACUUUGGGCC
Molecule: transfer RNA, 73 nt
Filed under: Ailuropoda melanoleuca (giant panda)
Lineage: Eukaryota; Metazoa; Chordata; Mammalia; Carnivora; Ursidae
Rfam family: tRNA
About the family: Transfer RNA (tRNA) molecules are approximately 80 nucleotides in length.
Source: Rfam by way of RNAcentral